Molecule: ribosomal RNA, 253 nt
Filed under: uncultured bacterium
Lineage: Bacteria
Description: partial 16S ribosomal RNA
Rfam family: Bacterial small subunit ribosomal RNA
Source: RNAcentral
UACAGAGGUCGCAAGCGUUGUUCGGAUUCACUGGGCGUAAAGGGGGCGUAGGUGGCGCCGUAAGUCAGGUGUGAAAUUUCGGAGCUUAACUCCGAAACUGCAUUUGAUACUGCGGUGCUUGAGGACUGGAGAGGAGACUGGAAUUUACGGUGUAGCAGUGAAAUGCGUAGAGAUCGUAAGGAAGACCAGUGGCGAAGGCGGGUCUCUGGACAGUUCCUGAGACUGAGGCACGAAGGCCAGGUGAGCAAACGGG